ACAUUGGGACUGAGACACGGCCCAAACUCCUACGGGAGGCAGCAGUGGGGAAUAUUGGACAAUGGGCGCAAGCCUGAUCCAGCCAUGCCGCGUGAGUGAUGACGGCCUUAGGGUUGUAAAGCUCUUUCGCUCGGGACGAUAAUGACGGUACCGAGAUAAGAAGCCCCGGCUAACUUCGUGCCAGCAGCCGCGGUAAUACGAAGGGGGCUAGCGUUGUUCGGAAUUACUGGGCGUAAAGCGCGUGUAGGCGGGUCCUUAAGUCAGGGGUGAAAUGCCAAGGCUCAACCUUGGAACUGCCUUUGAUACUGGGGACCUUGAGUCCGGGAGAGGUGAGUGGAACUGCGAGUGUAGAGGUGAAAUUCGUAGAUAUUCGCAAGAACACCAGUGGCGAAGGCGGCUCACUGGCCCGGAACUGACGCUGAGACGCGAAAGCGUGGGGAGCAAACAGGAUUAGAUACCCUGGUAGUCCACGCUGUAAACGAUGGAUGCUAGCCGUUGGGGAGCUUGCUCUUCAGUGGCGCAGCUAACGCUUUAAGCAUCCCGCCUGGGGAGUACGGUCGCAAGAUUAAAACUCAAAGGAAUGA
RNAcentral lists this ribosomal RNA (584 nucleotides) under uncultured bacterium. Its description in RNAcentral is "bacterial SSU rRNA". It matches the Rfam family "Bacterial small subunit ribosomal RNA", at positions 310 to 912 of the family's 1533-position model. The record is from RNAcentral.